GAUGAAGAACGUAGCGAAAUGCGAUAAGUAGUGUGAAUUGCAGAAUUCAGUGAAUCAUCGAAUCUUUGAACGCACAUUGCGCCCCUUGGUAUUCCAUGGGGCAUGCCUGUUCGAGCGUCAUUUGUACCUUCAAGCUCUGCUUGGUGUUGGGUGUUUGUCUCGCCUCUGCGUGUAGACUCGCCUCAAAAUAAUUGGCAGCCGGCGUAUUGAUUUCGGAGCGCAGUACAUCUCGCGCUUUGCACUCAUAACGACGACGUCCAAAAGUACAUUUUUACUCUCUUGACCUCGGAUCAGGUAGGGAUACCCGCUGAACUUAAGCAUAUCAAUAAGCGGAGGA
Molecule: unclassified non-coding RNA, 337 nt
Filed under: soil metagenome
Description: partial contains 5.8S ribosomal RNA, internal transcribed spacer 2, and large subunit ribosomal RNA
Rfam family: 5.8S ribosomal RNA (bases 1-120)
Source: RNAcentral